UAAUGAAUGAAUGAAAACCAUUUUGGGUAUUUGUGUUUUUAUGUCUCAACAACAAACGUUCUCUUUCGUUAUAGAGAUAAAAUAAAACAAUUCCAGAAACAAUAUUUGCUCAAAUUAAAAUUUUACCAAAUUAACCAUGAAAAAAAACCGGAAAACUUGGUCAAAUUACAAAAAUUUUAAUUAUAAUCCAUGAUGAUUUGGAUUAUGUUGUUUUUAAUUUAAUUUUCUAUCAAAAAUCAUAAUAUCAACAAUUAUAACGGUCAAUGAUGUGGUGUGAUCGCAAUGGAUUGUUAUAUUCAUAGAUUAUUUAAUGUAAUCGAGGUAAGAAAAUAAAUAAAUUCAAAUAUAAAACAUCACUUCUCAUAUCACAACAUUUUUUUUCAAAUUUGAUUCGUUCCCACGAUUUCCACAAAAUAUGAGAAACGAUCAUCAUCACCACCAUACACACAUAAACGUUUGGGGAUUUUGGACCACACGACGAUUGCGGUUAUAUAACAUAUGAAUAAUAAUCAAUGAACGGUUCACAACCAUCAACAACAACAACAACAACAAAGUCA
Molecule: long non-coding RNA, 557 nt
Organism: Dermatophagoides farinae (American house dust mite)
Lineage: Eukaryota; Metazoa; Arthropoda; Arachnida; Sarcoptiformes; Pyroglyphidae
Source: RefSeq, a predicted model, not a curated record